AGGGGUAAUACCGCAUGACACCCUUCCAUCACAAGAUGGAGGGAUUAAAGACGCCCUCUGAUUGCACGGUGUCAUCUGAAGAUGGGCCCGCGCACUAUUAGCUCGUUGGUAGGGUAAUGGCCUAGCAAUGACGACGAUGGUUAGCCGGCCUGAGAGGGUGAUCGGGCACAUUGGGACUGAGAUACGGCCCAGACUCCUACGGGAGGCAGCAGCUAAGAAUAUUCCGCAAUGGGCGAAAGCCUGACGGAGCGACGCCGCGUGGAGGAUGAAGGCUUUCGGGUUGUAAACUCCUAUUCUCACGGAAGAAUAAGGCCUGGAGUAACUGUCACCGUCGAUGACGGUACCUGAGGAAUAAGCCCCGGCUAAUUACGUGCCAGCAGCCGCGGUACUACGUAUGGGGCGAGCGUUGUGCGGAAUCACUGGGCGUACAGGGCGUGUAGGCGGUGUACUUAGUCGGAUGUGAAAUCUCCAGGCUCAACCUGGAAACUGCAUUCGAAACUGCUACACUAGAUUACCGGAGAGGGAGACGGAAUUCCUGAUGUAGGGGUGAAAUCUGUAGAUAUCAGGAAGAACACCGGUGGCGAAGGCGGUCUCCUGGCCGGAUACUGACGCUGAGGCGCGAAAGCUAGGGGAGCAAACAGGAUUAGAUACCCUGGUAGUCCUAUCUGUAAACGUUGUGCACUAGGUGUACGUGGUUUUAAUCCAGUUGUGCCGCAGCUAACGCAUUAAGUGCACCGCCUGGGGAGUAUGCUCGCAAGGGUGAAACUCA
RNAcentral lists this ribosomal RNA (769 nucleotides) under uncultured organism. RNAcentral's name for it is "bacterial SSU rRNA". It matches the Rfam family "Bacterial small subunit ribosomal RNA", at positions 159 to 903 of the family's 1533-position model. The record is from RNAcentral.